GUUGAACGCUGGCGGAAUGCUUUACACAUGCAAGUCGAACGGUAGAGGGGGCAACCCCUUGAGAGUGGCGAACGGGUGAGUAAUAUAUCGGAACGUGCCCAGUCGUGGGGGAUAACGUAGUGAAAAUUACGCUAAUACCGCAUACGAUCUAAGGAUGAAAGCGGGGGAUCGCAAGACCUCGCGCGAUUGGAGCGGCCGAUAUCAGAUUAGGUAGUUGGUAGGGUAAAGGCCUACCAAGCCAACGAUCUGUAGCUGGUCUGAGAGGACGACCAGCCACACUGGAACUGAGACACGGUCCAGACUCCUACGGGAGGCAGCAGUGGGGAAUUUUGGACAAUGGGCGAAAGCCUGAUCCAGCCAUUCCGCGUGCAGGAUGAAGGCCCUCGGGUUGUAAACUGCUUUUGUACAGAACGAAAAGGUCUCUAUUAAUACUAGGGGCUCAUGACGGUACUGUAAUAAUAAGCACCGGCUAACUACGUGCCAGCCGCCGCGGUAA
This 496-nucleotide ribosomal RNA is filed under the name uncultured bacterium. RNAcentral describes it as "partial 16S ribosomal RNA". It matches the Rfam family "Bacterial small subunit ribosomal RNA", at positions 28 to 523 of the family's 1533-position model. The record is from RNAcentral.